This 385-nucleotide ribosomal RNA is filed under the name uncultured bacterium. RNAcentral's name for it is "bacterial SSU rRNA". It matches the Rfam family "Bacterial small subunit ribosomal RNA", at positions 30 to 416 of the family's 1533-position model. The record is from RNAcentral.
AUUGAACGCUGGCGGCAUGCCUUACACAUGCAAGUCGAACGGCAGCACGGGAGCAAUCCUGGUGGCGAGUGGCGAACGGGUGAGUAAUAUAUCGGAACGUGCCCAGUCGUGGGGAUAACGUAGCGAAAGCUACGCUAAUACCGCAUACGAUCUAUGGAUGAAAGCGGGGGAUCGCAAGACCUCGCGCGAUUGGAGCGGCCGAUAUCAGAUUAGGUAGUUGGUGAGGUAAAGGCUCACCAAGCCGACGAUCUGUAGCUGGUCUGAGAGGACGACCAGCCACACUGGGACUGAGACACGGCCCAGACUCCUACGGGAGGCAGCAGUGGGGAAUUUUGGACAAUGGGCGCAAGCCUGAUCCAGUAAUGCCGCGUGCAGGAUGAAGGCC